Molecule: ribosomal RNA, 403 nt
Filed under: uncultured bacterium
Lineage: Bacteria
Description: partial 16S ribosomal RNA
Rfam family: Bacterial small subunit ribosomal RNA
Source: RNAcentral
AUUGAACGCUGGCGGCAGGCCUAACACAUGCAAGUCGAGCGAGCGGCGGACGGGUGAGUAAUGUAUGGGGUCUGCCCGAUAGAGGGGGAUAACUACUGGAAACGGUGGCUAAUACCGCAUACUGUCUGAUAACCCAUAGGGGAUUAGCUAGUAGGUAAGGUAAUGGCUUACCUAGGCGACGAUCCCUAGCUGGUCUGAGAGGAUGAUCAGCCACACGGGGACGGAGACACGGCCCAGACUCCGACGGAGGCAGCAGUGGGGAAUAUUGCACAAUGGGUGCAAGCCUGAUGCAGCCAUGCCGCGUGUAUGAAGAAGGCCCUAGGGUUGUAAAGUCCUUUCAGUCGGGAGGCGUUACCGACAGAAGAAGCACCGGCUAACUCCGUGCCAGCAGCCGCGGUAAUUC